Molecule: ribosomal RNA, 1278 nt
Filed under: Klebsiella pneumoniae
Lineage: Bacteria; Pseudomonadati; Pseudomonadota; Gammaproteobacteria; Enterobacterales; Enterobacteriaceae
Description: bacterial SSU rRNA
Rfam family: Bacterial small subunit ribosomal RNA
Source: RNAcentral
GGCUCACCUAGGCGACGAUCCCUAGCUGGUCUGAGAGGAUGACCAGCCACACUGGAACUGAGACACGGUCCAGACUCCUACGGGAGGCAGCAGUGGGGAAUAUUGCACAAUGGGCGCAAGCCUGAUGCAGCCAUGCCGCGUGUGUGAAGAAGGCCUUCGGGUUGUAAAGCACUUUCAGCGGGGAGGAAGGCGGUGAGGUUAAUAACCUCAUCGAUUGACGUUACCCGCAGAAGAAGCACCGGCUAACUCCGUGCCAGCAGCCGCGGUAAUACGGAGGGUGCAAGCGUUAAUCGGAAUUACUGGGCGUAAAGCGCACGCAGGCGGUCUGUCAAGUCGGAUGUGAAAUCCCCGGGCUCAACCUGGGAACUGCAUUCGAAACUGGCAGGCUAGAGUCUUGUAGAGGGGGGUAGAAUUCCAGGUGUAGCGGUGAAAUGCGUAGAGAUCUGGAGGAAUACCGGUGGCGAAGGCGGCCCCCUGGACAAAGACUGACGCUCAGGUGCGAAAGCGUGGGGAGCAAACAGGAUUAGAUACCCUGGUAGUCCACGCCGUAAACGAUGUCGAUUUGGAGGUUGUGCCCUUGAGGCGUGGCUUCCGGAGCUAACGCGUUAAAUCGACCGCCUGGGGAGUACGGCCGCAAGGUUAAAACUCAAAUGAAUUGACGGGGGCCCGCACAAGCGGUGGAGCAUGUGGUUUAAUUCGAUGCAACGCGAAGAACCUUACCUGGUCUUGACAUCCACAGAACUUUCCAGAGAUGGAUUGGUGCCUUCGGGAACUGUGAGACAGGUGCUGCAUGGCUGUCGUCAGCUCGUGUUGUGAAAUGUUGGGUUAAGUCCCGCAACGAGCGCAACCCUUAUCCUUUGUUGCCAGCGGUCCGGCCGGGAACUCAAAGGAGACUGCCAGUGAUAAACUGGAGGAAGGUGGGGAUGACGUCAAGUCAUCAUGGCCCUUACGACCAGGGCUACACACGUGCUACAAUGGCAUAUACAAAGAGAAGCGACCUCGCGAGAGCAAGCGGACCUCAUAAAGUAUGUCGUAGUCCGGAUUGGAGUCUGCAACUCGACUCCAUGAAGUCGGAAUCGCUAGUAAUCGUAGAUCAGAAUGCUACGGUGAAUACGUUCCCGGGCCUUGUACACACCGCCCGUCACACCAUGGGAGUGGGUUGCAAAAGAAGUAGGUAGCUUAACCUUCGGGAGGGCGCUUACCACUUUGUGAUUCAUGACUGGGGUGAAGUCGUAACAAGGUAACCGUAGGGGAACCUGCGGUUGGAUCACCUCCUUA